UGAUGCAGCGACGCCGCGUGAGGGAUGACGGCCUUCGGGUUGUAAACCUCUUUCAGCACCGACGAAGCGAGAGUGACGGUAGGUGCAGAAGAAGCGCCGGCCAACUACGUGCCAGCAGCCGCGGUAAGACGUAGGGCGCGAGCGUUGUCCGGAUUUAUUGGGCGUAAAGAGCUCGUAGGCGGUUUGUCGCGUCGUCUGUGAAAACCCACGGCUCAACUGUGGGCUUGCAGUCGAUACGGGCAGGCUAGAGUUCGGUAGGGGAGACUGGAAUUCCUGGUGUAGCGGUGAAAUGCGCAGAUAUCAGGAGGAACACCGGUGGCGAAGGCGGGUCUCUGGGCCGAUACUGACGCUGAGGAGCGAAAGCGUGGGGAGCGAACAGGAUUAGAUACCCUGGUAGUCCACGCUGUAAACGUUGGGCGCUAGGUGUGGGGGACCUCUCCGGUUCUCUGUGCCGCAGCUAACGCAUUAAGCGCCCCGCCUGGGGAGUACGGCCGCAAGGCUAAAACUCAAAGGAAUUGACGGGGGCCCGCACA
This 533-nucleotide ribosomal RNA is filed under the name uncultured Actinomycetes bacterium. Its description in RNAcentral is "bacterial SSU rRNA". It matches the Rfam family "Bacterial small subunit ribosomal RNA", at positions 384 to 927 of the family's 1533-position model. The record is from RNAcentral. Lineage: Bacteria; Bacillati; Actinomycetota; Actinomycetes.